CCAUCUCCAACAUUUUUUAUGAGAAAUCAAAAUUUUAGAUUUUUUAUGUUUAUGAGAAAUCAAUUUUUUUUUUUUUAGAUUUCAUACAAUUUAUCACCCAACCCGGCUUCCAGACAGUUAUCGAUCUCACGCAAGAUGGCGACGAAGAUCCCACCGUCAACGUAACAGACAAACCUUCUUCCUACCUGAUUCCACUCCGGCGCACGUCGAGAAUUCAAUAGGAUCCGGCGGCGAACUACUUCCUGGACCCAGCGACGAACCAGCAAGAAAGAAGCCUAGAAAAACAAAUCGUCCCACCUCGCCGGUCAGUCCUGGACCAGACGGCGAACCACCAAGAAAGACUUAUCGUUUUACAGCGGUGGUCCGACCUGAUCCGAACAGCGAACUACCAAGAAAGGCUUAUCGUUUUACCCCGGCGAUCAGUCCUGAGAGCUCUCCAGAGAGGAAAACUCUUUGUCUGACACCACCGAACAGCCCGGCGACCAGUCCUGAGACCGAGCUGUUUUAUGCAGACUCGAGUAGAAGCCAUAAGGAUGACGUGACAACCUGGGGUACGGCUCAAAUCGAUGCUUGGGACCAGAGUUCUUGGACGAGCGAGCGUGACGAGGUGUCAACCACCAACGUGGGUCAAACACCAUAUCCUUCUCACUCACCGUCGUCGGAAGAAGUAGAAGUGGAAGAAGUUCCGGCGCGUCAGCCGGUUGAUGAACCAUUCGAUGAUCUGCCUCCGACUCAUAGGUCCAUUAAUUCGAUAGAAUCAUUUGGUCAAGAGUUUCGCGACGCGCAGGUUGACAUAAACAACAAAUACGUCGAACUCUGUGACGUACAAGAUGAUAUUAACAACAAAUUGAUUGCGUUGCGCAGCAAGUCUCGUGACAGACAAAUCGAAACCCAUAGCAGAUUAGACGCGUUGCACGGCGAGCUCCGUGCCUAUCACCUCGAGACACGCAGUCGAUUCGAUGCGCAGGAUCGCUUUAUUCACGUUCUGGCCGAUGAAAUAUUCCGUCGCGUCAAUGCUAUGAGAUCAAUGAUUGAUCAGCAGUUUGAUAGAAAUGAUAGUAUGGUGAGUCAAUACCAACAGGAAUUGGUGCUCAUUUUGCAUCACCUUAUUCUCACCAUCGUAGACGAGACCACAGAGUCAAAUUGAAUAUAGAUGUAUUCCGAGUAAUUCUUUUAUCGCACGUCUGCUAUGAUUUUUUAAUAUUUCAUGUAUGCUUUUUAUACUUUGUUUACAUAUAAUCCGAUAUUUCAUUUAUACUCUGAUUUUGUAACAAGUCAUAUAUGCUUUUUAUAUUCUGAUUUUGUAAUAGUUCAUUUAUGAUUUUUUUAUACUAUAUGAAAUUUGUAAUAGUUCAUGUAUGCUUUUUUAUACUAUAUGAAAUUUGUAAUAGUUUGUGUAUGCUUUUUAUACUAUAUGAAAUUAGUAAUAGUUCAUGUAUGCUUGUUUUAACUCUAUGAUUUUGUAAUAGUACGUA
This is a long non-coding RNA of Cyprinus carpio (common carp), 1475 nucleotides long. The record is from Ensembl. NCBI's taxonomy places the organism in Eukaryota, Metazoa, Chordata, Actinopteri, Cypriniformes, Cyprinidae.